ACCCGGUGCCAAAUUGAAAGACGCAGUUCGUUUAUUGAUUCUCUCUCUCGGCUUCUUCCAUAAACAAAACCAAAAGGAGAGAGAGAGAGAGAGAGAAACGUACGGAAAUGGCGACUCUGCAAUAGCUCCUCUGGUUCAAGCCCCUUUCUCUGUACCUCUCCCUUUCAAUUCCAAAUUCUCUUUCACUCUGUAUAACUAUAUUAACUAUAUGAAAAAUGCAUGAUAUUCAAACUAUGAACCUUAACAUGGCAGCAGAAGUGGAGAACUACACACCUCCUCUUCAGAUCUGUGGUGGUUUCGCAUUGCUGCUUCAAUUUUUGACGGAAAAUUACUUGUUUUGAUCUUUUGAGGAUUUUCUCAUUGGCUUUUGGGAUAUUUAUUUGUUUAAUUGUUUCUAUUUUGGUUUGGGGGUGAAGUCACUGGAGGCAGCGGUUCAUCGAUCUCUUCCUGGAGGAUUUUGUUGUGGAAUUAACACAAACACAUGAAUCGAUCGAUAAACCUCUGCAUCCAGCGCUUGCCCUCCUUUUUUUUUUUUUUUCUAUACUCUCUCGCUAAUGAGAUCACUAUUUUUUUUUUGGUUGCUGAGAAAUUUUGUUUUAAAGAAAAUGCAAAAUUUCCCGAAGGGUGAAUUUUUUUUUUUUCGAAUUUUCUCUAAUUGAAGUUGGUCGCAGCCUUGCAGGAAAAUGCGGCCUCCUCCGGCUAUGGAGCGUGGACUCUUACUGUAGCAUCCCUUUUCAUAUUAUGCAUCAAUUUCUCACACUACUGUGGUGUUAAACAUUUCCCUUACCCAGGAUUGGGACCAGCUAUGCUUUGCUAAGCUCACCGUAGGCAGAGUUUUUGACUUUGAUGUGUGGUUCUUCUUUAUUCUGAGUGUCAACCAUUCAAGAUUGGCGAAUUCUCUUUUGAUCUCCAUCUUUUAGUCCCUUGGCUGAAGUAGUUGCAUGAGAAGAACUCCUCGGUGGAGUUCUUAUAGAGAUAAUUCUUAAUGAUUAUAUUAUGUUGGAGAUAAUGGUUAUUUUUCUGUAGUUUUGCUCAGAUAAGUUAUUAUAUUGCUUCCUUACUAUUGAUUUUGUUUGUAUUAUAGAUUUGGUGUCCCACAAAAUAUUCUGUAAUGGAUCUGAUCUUUCGUUCCAAUUGUGACACAAUUUUUGCUGAGAAAAACCCAUUUUAGCAUUGUUUAAUUCUUCUA
Long non-coding RNA from Manihot esculenta (cassava), 1189 nucleotides. RefSeq lists it as uncharacterized. The record is from RefSeq and is a predicted model, not a curated record. Lineage: Eukaryota; Viridiplantae; Streptophyta; Magnoliopsida; Malpighiales; Euphorbiaceae. The transcript has 2 exons.